RNAcentral lists this ribosomal RNA (1275 nucleotides) under Triticum aestivum (bread wheat). Its description in RNAcentral is "partial small subunit ribosomal RNA". The record is from RNAcentral. Lineage: Eukaryota; Viridiplantae; Streptophyta; Magnoliopsida; Poales; Poaceae.
AUGCGGCGACGGGUAUGCCGGCGUGCCGGAGCCCUUGGGAGGCGAGUGGGACGACGGCGACGGGUAGGACGGGCUGGAAGGUUUGCCACCACCGGGCAUGGGAGUAGCAGGAGAGUACGCCGGGAACUGGCAUUGCGCCUUACUGCAGUCGAACGGGUGGGAGGCCGCGGCGGCGCACUGCGCCGGCGGCCGCUGCGCGGGCGCGCCGGGGAUGCAGUUCCACGCGCCGUCGGCGGUGGCCUGCGCGCAGCCGGGGCGCGAGGUGAUGAAGUUGUCGGUGUAGGUGAAGUUCUUGAGCCCGGCGAGGCCGCAGACGGCGGCCGGCACGGCGCCCUCGAAGAGGUUCCCGGCGACGUCGAGCUCCUCGACGGCCGCCAUCCCGCCAAUGGCCGCGGGGAGGGCCCCCUGGAGCCGGUUGCCGCUGACGUCGAACACCGUCACCUUCUUGAGCAGGCCGACCUGCGGCGGGACGCAGCCGGUGAGCAGGUCGUCGAUGAGCACGAUCUCGUUGAGCGUCUCCGCCAUCUUCCCGAUGGAGGGCGGGAUGCAUCCGCCGAGCCGGUUGUGCGCGAGCACGACGACGGAGGCCGGCGAGUUGCCGAGGUUGGCGGGGAUGGGGUUCCGCAGGCGGUUGGAGUUGAGGAAGAUGGCGUCGAGCGGGCGGUCGAAGAGCGCGGACGGGAUGGUGCCCUCGAAGUCGUUGAACCGGAGGUCGAGGUACUUCAAGGACGGCAGCGCGAGCACCACCUCCGGGAAGGCGCCGACGAAGCGGUUGUUGCUGAGGUCGAGCUCGUGGAGCAGGCGCAGGCGGCGGAAGGUGUCGGGCACCACCCCGCAGAAGCGGUUGGAGUUGAGGUGGAGCAGCGCCAGGUCCGGGAGCCCCAGCGGGAGGGAGGCGGGCAGGUAGCCGGCGAUGUCGGCGUGGUUGAGGUCGAUCCCGGCGACGGUCACCGCGCCGUAGGCAGACGGGGCGGGCGCGCAGUAGACGCCGUUGUAGCGGCAGACGUCGGGGCCGAGCCAGUUGGCGGUGAAGUUGGCCGGGUCGGAGAAGAUGGCCGUCUGCUUCCAGGCCUGGAGGGCCGCGUAGGCGGCCCGCAGGCGCGGGUUCGGGAACGGCCAGCUCGCCGGCGCGUCGAAGCGGGUGGCGAGCGACGCCGCGUACUGCUCCGGCACGUUGCCCUCCUGCUGCGCGCUCGCUGCGGUGACCGCGGUGACAAGCAGGAGCGCGAGCAGCGGCGGCAUGCCGCGCCGGAUCAUGGUUGCGUUGAGCUGUGA